This 88-nucleotide transfer RNA is filed under the name Deltaproteobacteria bacterium. RNAcentral describes it as "tRNA-Leu". It matches the Rfam family "tRNA". Rfam says of the family: Transfer RNA (tRNA) molecules are approximately 80 nucleotides in length. Their secondary structure includes four short double-helical elements and three loops (D, anti-codon, and T loops). The record is from RNAcentral. Lineage: Bacteria; Pseudomonadati; Myxococcota; Myxococcia.
GCCGGAGUGGUGAAACUGGUAGACGCAGAGGACUCAAAAUCCUCCGGGCCUCGCGCCCAUGUCGGUUCGAUUCCGACCUCCGGCACCA